RNAcentral lists this small nuclear RNA (63 nucleotides) under Piliocolobus tephrosceles (Ugandan red Colobus). RNAcentral describes it as "U7 small nuclear RNA (ENSPTEG00000017940.1)". It matches the Rfam family "U7 small nuclear RNA". From Rfam's summary of the family: Animal histone pre-mRNAs are spliced by a different mechanism than nuclear pre-mRNAs and self-splicing introns. This processing involves the U7 snRNP, which contains only one RNA species: U7. Lineage: Eukaryota; Metazoa; Chordata; Mammalia; Primates; Cercopithecidae. The record is from Rfam by way of RNAcentral.
GAAUGUUACUGCUAUUUUAUAAUUUGUCUAGCAGGUUUUCUGGUCUUCACCAGAAAAACCCCU